Molecule: ribosomal RNA, 885 nt
Filed under: Triticum aestivum (bread wheat)
Lineage: Eukaryota; Viridiplantae; Streptophyta; Magnoliopsida; Poales; Poaceae
Description: partial small subunit ribosomal RNA
Source: RNAcentral
AUGACCAUGAGUAUGGCAACGGGUGCCAUGGGCUCCCUGCUGCCCAAGCUGGUCGAGCUCCUCAAGGAGGAGUACAAGCUCAAGGAGAGCGUCAAGGAAGGCGUCCGAUCUCUUGAGGAAGAGAUGAAGAGCAUGCAAGCUGCGCUCCGCAAGGUGGGCGAGGUGCCACGGGACCAGCUCGAUGAGCAGGUCAAGAUCUGGGCAGCAGAGGUGAGGGAGCUCUCCUUCAAGAUGGAGGACAUCGUCGACAAGUUCUUGGUGCGUGUCGAUGACGGCUCUGAGCCUGCCGCCAAUCCGAAGAAGCUCAAACGGCUCACCAAGAUGAUGGCCGGUUUGUUCACCAAGGGGAAGACCCGCCAUGAGAUCGCUGAUGCAAUCAAGAGCAUCAAGAAGCAAGUACAAGAUGUUGCUGACAGGCGUGCAAGGUACAAUGUCGACAACUUUGUCGCUAGGCCGGCAGCGGUGACGCCCAUUGAUCCUCGCCUUGCGGCUCUGUACACGAAAGUGACAGAGCUUGUUGGCAUUGCUGGGAAAAGAGAUCAAGAGCUAAUGAGGUUGCUCUUUGAGGAAGACAACUUGCCCAAAAAAGAGUUGAAGAUUGUCUCUGUAGUCGGAUUUGGAGGAUUGGGCAAGACCACUCUUGUCAAAAUGGUUUAUGACAAGAUCAAGGGAGAUUUUGAUUGCGGGGCUUUUGUUCCAGUUGGUCGAAAUGCUGACGUGAAGAAGAUUCUCCUUCUUGAUCUUGACUUGGACGAAAGCCAACUCACCAGGUUGGAUGAAAGACAACUCAUCAACAAACUUCAAAAAGGUCUAGAGAAGAAGAGAGAAUCAUCCAUUGGCACGAGACGAUUUCCUCCCCUCGGUGUUUUAUUCAAGACGGUGUAA